UACGUAGGGUGCAAGCGUUGCCCGGAUUUAUUGGGCGUACAGGGCGCGUAGGCGGCUCUGCACGUUCGUUGUGAAAUCGCCCGGCUCAACUGGGCGGGGUCAGCGGAUACGGCAGAGCUUGAGCAAGCUAGGGGGCAAUGGAAUUCCCGGUGUAGUGGUGGAAUGCGUAGAUAUCGGGAGGAACACCAGUGGCGAAGGCGGUUCUCUGGGCCUUACCUGACGCUGAGGAGCGAAAGCGUGGGGAGCAAACAGG
RNAcentral lists this ribosomal RNA (253 nucleotides) under uncultured bacterium. RNAcentral's name for it is "partial 16S ribosomal RNA". It matches the Rfam family "Bacterial small subunit ribosomal RNA", at positions 524 to 776 of the family's 1533-position model. The record is from RNAcentral.